UUCUUCCUUCCAUAUGGUGAAGAAGGAGGUCACCAGACAACAACUGUUGGAGCGUUGGAGUGUUAUUGAACAAGAAGACGAUGACGAUAGCCUCUCUUCUGUUCAUCCCCUCAAACGUCGUCGUUUGCGCCAGCUCAAAGAGCAAUGGUUUUCAGAUGCAUUCAACUUCUUGAUAUAUUUGCCAAAAGAAUAUCAUGUCUGGUGUGGUUACUGGGAUCUGAUGGGGCCUCUUCUGGAAACAUUCUACAAUUAUUUCAAGGAAGAAUGCCAUGAUUCUCCUCUCAAACUUUUAUGGAAUAGAAUUUCUCAAGAGAUAACAAGUUGCACUCUAUGCAUUCACCAGCAUCAUCAAGCACAACAGAUGUAUGAUAAAGAAUAUGAGGAGAGCUGUAUAAGUCCUCUUCUUGACGUGCUGCGUAUGCUUGAUGAAGAAAGAAUCAGCCAACACCUCAAGGAUCUUAAUGCUAGAAUAGCAAAAGGGGAGUAUGACGCAGGACAUGAUUAUGCACAAGUUGUGAGUGUUAUGUUUGAGGUUUUGAUGUUCCCCAUCUUGUUGGAUGAUCAAUCCUUGGCCACAGAGUUUCAGAUUUUUAUUGAAGCAAUUGAUAAUUCUCACGAAUUAACGUUAGAUGGAUAUCAACAGUAUCCGGGAGUUUAUGCAUUGCUUUUCUUCAAAAGCAGAAGAGUGCGAUCUAUAGGUCUUCGCUUGGCUGGACAUAUGGGUAGAUUGAGGAGAUCAACGGAUUUGGAACCAUUGCAGCAUUUACUAAGGAAAUGCAUUUGCAUAUUGGAGACAGAAGGCAUGCAGCCAACUAUGGAGACAUCAAGGCCUAGGGUACAACUGGAUCGAAUAACUGUAUGGCUUGGAAUGAAAGCAUUGGUUGGGUUUUUAGAGCCUCCAGCAUUUGAAGAAGGGAUUGUAGAUCGGUAUCCUAUUUUCCUUAGUAUUGUGCUGAACCAUAUUAGUGAUGAUUCGCUCGAGUUUUCUCAUGCGGUUAACUGCCUGAGACUACUCUUUGAGAAGCUUGGAUGUAAACUAUGGUUGAGAGCUACAUUGUCUCCCAGUGUUAUGAGAAAUACACUUCUGGGCCAGUGUUUCCAUACUCGAAAUGAGAAAAGCCAUAAAGAAAUUUUUGAUCUUUUCCAGCCUUUUCUGCAGUCUCUUGAAGCUUUGCAAGAUGGCGAACAUGAAAAACAAAGAAGGCAUUUUUUAUUCUUUCUCCUGCAUCAAGUGCCCGUGAGCAGUAAUUUUAGUGUGCUGAUGAGGAAAAAGGCUUGCCAGAUAGCUCUUCUCAUUGUUCUCCGAGGUUACAAGAUGGAUCCACCUUGCCCACCGUCUGAAUGUGCACACAUGUGGGGCCCUUCUCUUGUGUCUUCUCUGAAGGAUCAGUCGCUGCAUAGUUCUCUUCGACAACCUGCAAUUGAUCUUAUAGAAACCAUUAUUGUAUCUGAUGCUUCUGCAUUGAUCUCUAUAAUUUUGAAUGGUCAGUUGCAUCCAAGUGAUAAACCAAUCAGGCCGAGUAACUAUGGUGAUGUGGAAGACGAAGAAGACAUUUUGUCUGGUUUCCAUAUUAAAGAGAAGGAUGUUAGUUGUUGGAAAGAAUUCACUGUGCAGCAUAAAAUGAUCUCACAGGUAGAUGGGAGCUGGAUGUGUGUACCCAUGUUAUGGUUUGAUGUGUUAGUUGAAAUUGAUCCAUUGGUCCUUCCUUUAUCCUUUUCCAAGGCUGUCUUUUGGUCAUUAUCUCGGUUUUCAGUAAUAGAACCUGAGAAUAGCACAGAAAUGGCUCUUUCUGUUAGGAAUUGGCUGGCAACCUGUGCUUCAGAAAUUUCUUAUCUGUUUGGGUGGAAGGUUCCCUCAGGUUCUGAUGAUGGCGGGGAUGGAACAGAAACGAGAAACUCUAUUAGAACUUCAACGAUGUGCCUGCCUUUAGUUAGGACAUUCAAGAGGUUAACUGCUCAUUACACUGUUAGGAUGGAACAAGGAGAUGUUAGGAAGCAGUGGACCUGGGAACCAAUGAUGAGCAAUAGUUUGAUACUCUUUCUUGUGGAUCCUAAUGAUAAUACCAGACAAGCUGGUAGGCGUAUUCUUGAACAAGUUUCAGAUGUUCGUGGCCUUACUUGUGGUCUGCAAUUUCUUUGCUCCACGCCACCAUCAUUGUUUGCCGUCCUAUUGGGGUUGAGACAUGCUCUGAAAUUGGUUCAGCUGGAUUCGGUUCUGUUAAACUUUCAGGCUUUACAUCAUCUCUUCUUCAUCCUGUGCAAAUUGCUCAAAGAAGGAAAUUCAUCUGCUCAGACUGUCUCCCAAGAUCCAUCUAAUGUUUCCGACAUUUCAAAAUUUUAUUUGCAAGGUGGAUUUCUAAAGCAACCUGUAUUUGAUUCUUCACCCUCUGAUGGUGAUUGCUCAUCAUUUGUUAGCUUGACAUUGUGGAAGAAGUUUAGCUCCUCACUAUCAGAAAUUGCAUGGCCGUCAAUUCUGAAAUGCUUGGAUGGAGGCAAGACAUUCACAGAUUACACAGUAUCUCAGAUGACAUGUAUACGUCUGCUCGAAGUCAUGCCUGUCGUUUUAGAAAGGCUGCCCCAAAAUUCUGGCAUUGUGUUGCAAACUUUUGGUAACACGAAAUGGCUCCACGAUUUGGCUGAUUGGGGGAAGUCAUCCCUUGCUGUCGUGGUUAGGUAUUGGAAACAAACAUUAGCUUUUUUGCUUGGUCAUAUUAAGGCGUGCUGCAGUAACAAAUCUGCUUCAGCAAUUUCUGAUGUUGAGAAACUUAUUUCAUAUGAAAAAGUUUCAAUAGAUGAGGUGAGCAAGCAAGUAGCACGCCUUUCUGUUUCAUUAACGGAUGAAGGUUCUACAUUGAAUAAAAUUGGUCGUCAAUCAAAAUGUUCACCUUCUGGAGAGUCAUUGAAUAGGAGAAACUGUUCAGCAGAAUCCGAAAUUCUGAUCGUUGAUGAAACAAAAAUGAAUAUUCUAAAUUCUGAAUCAUUGAUCGACUUGGAAGGAGAACAUGUCAUAGUUCUUUCUGAUGAUGAAAAACAAGGAGACAUUUCUGCUCAUCUGGGGCUUUCCAGUAGUUGGGCAACUACAUAUGGCGGUAAUCAUGCUGAUACAGAUGCUGCCGGGAGAGAGUUAAAAGCUGACCUGAAGGGAGAAGUCAGCACCCAUGGGGGUUUGAUGGUGUCCCCUGGGUCUCAUCAUCAGCUAGAUUCUUGUUCAACUGAUCUUGUCAUUGAGAAAAUGAGCUCAGAUAAUAAUGUAGGCAUACAAAUAUCUCAAUCCUCUAUUCAAUCUGAGCCAUCAGCAAGUAAGAGAAAGAAAGUUGAAACAGAAGAUGGUGUAACCAAUUCUUUCUUGUCAACAGACAAAUCAAAUUUGACAAAACUAUCUGAUGGAACUGUCAAUUCAGAAAAAAAUGAUUCAUUUGCAGCUCAACUGCAUUCAAGAAAUGCCUUUCCCGAGAUGACUUCUGCAAGCAAUGUUCAACAGAGUUUGAAAAAACCUCCAAAAACUAGUGAUGAAACGAUGAAAGAGUUAGUAUGUGAUACUGAUGACAAUGCGUGGAACUUUUCAUUUUUCAAGCCACCAAGACGUCACCAGACACUAAUAACAAAGCCAAGCACUUCUGGCCCUAAACGGCAAGUUAUCCAGCUAACCUCACCUGUGGAGAACAGACCUGGAUCUAUGAGGCUGGGUGCUGGAGUGCCAAAAAGAUUUCAACCUCCCAGGCUUGAUGACUGGUACAGGCCCAUCUUACAGUUGGAUUUUUUUGUGGCUGUUGGAUUAGCUUCUGGAACUGAAAAAGAUAAUCAAAAUGUUGGCAAACUAAAGGAAGUCCCUGUUUGUUUUGAAUCACCUGAUGGGUAUGUUGAAAUUUUCCGGCCCUUGGUACUGGAAGAGUUCAAAGCGCAAUUGCAAAGUUCCUAUGUGGAGAUGGCUUCUGCAGAAGAAAUGUCUUGUGGAAGUUUAUCUGUGCUUUCAGUUGAGAGAAUUGAUGAUUUCCAUGUUGUUCGCUUUGUCCAUGAUGAAGAUGAGUCUACUGCAUCUAAAAGUCUGUCAGAAAAUGAUCUCAUUUUACUUACGAGACAACCACUGAGAAAUUCUAAUAGUGACACUCACGCUGUUGGAAAGGUUGAGAGGCGUGAGAAAGACAAUAAAAGAAGGUUAAAUAUCUUAGCCAUCAGAUUGUAUCUUCAAGGAUGUUCUCGUCUUAACCGAGCUAGAAAGUUCCUUACUGAGCGAAGCAAAUGGUAUGUUGGUCGUAUUAUGAGCAUUACCCCUCAACUUCGAGAAUUCCAGGCAUUGUCAUCAAUAAGGGAAAUCCCUCUGCUUCCAGUCAUCUUGAACCCUGUCAAUCAUCCUUGUGGUCAAUAUGAAUCGAGAACUGAAAAUCUUAGUAAACUACCUCAACCUUUGCAGCAGAUUUUCAAGUCAUCAUAUAAUGGCAGUCAGUUGCGGGCUAUUAGUCUUGCUAUUGGUGAGUUCAACUUGAAGAAGGAUUUUGAGUUGACUCUUGUACAGGGUCCUCCAGGAACUGGGAAGACCAGAACGAUCGUGGCCAUCGUUAGUGGUUUGCUUGCUUUCUCUCAAAUGAAAGAUUCCAAAGGAUUAAGAAAUGGUGGACCAGCUUUUAGCAUUAGUUCUAUCACUAACCAAAGGAUCAGUCAAUCUGCUGCAGUUGCGAGAGCCUGGCAGGAUGCAGCAUUGGCUAGACAAUUAAAUGAGGAUGUCGAAAGUAACAAAAGAUCUGCAGGAAGCUGCAUUAGAGGGCGGAUUCUUAUUUGUGCUCAGUCAAAUGCUGCAGUUGACGAGCUAGUUGCAAGAAUAUCGAGUGAAGGUCUUUAUGGCUGUGAUGGACAGAGAUACAAACCAUAUCUCGUGAGGGUUGGUAGUGCAAAGACUGUCCAUCCAAAUUCUCUCCCCUUCUUUAUUGAUACACUUGUCGAAAAUCGUCUAGGGGAGCAAAAGAGGAAUGCCUGGGAUGAAAAAAAGAGUUCGACUUCUGCAGAUUCUUUAACCACUAUACGUACUAAUCUAGAGAAGUUAGUGGACCGCAUAAGGUACUAUGAAUCAAAGCGGGCUAACUUGCAGGGAGGAAAUUCUGACUCUAAAAAUCUAGUGGAAGGAGAUUGUGGAGAUGCUGAGGUAUUGUCUGAUGCCGAACUAAAAGAAAACCUAAGGAGAUUAUAUGAAAAGAAGAAAGCAAUGUAUACAGAUCUUGCCAAUGUUCAGGCAAGAGAAAAAAAACAUAGUGAUGAAAUCAGAGUCCUAAGACACAAAUAUCGAACAGCUAUCUUGAAGGAGGCUGAAAUUGUGGUAACUACACUGAGUGGCUGCGGUGGAGAUCUAUAUGGGGUGUGCUCUGAAUCUACAUCAGGCCAUAAGUUCAUUAGUUCAUCUGAGAAUACUCUAUUUGAUGCUGUUGUGAUUGAUGAAGCUGCUCAAGCCCUGGAACCUGCCACUUUGAUCCCACUUCAGCUCCUAAAAUCGAGGGGUACAAAGUGUAUCAUGGUUGGUGAUCCAAAGCAACUUCCUGCCACAGUUCUCUCUAAUGUUGCCUGCAAGUACUUGUUCCAAUGCAGCAUGUUUGAACGAUUGCAGAGGGCAGGACAUCCUGUAAUUAUGCUCAAAGAACAGUAUAGGAUGCAUCCAGAGAUAUGCCGUUUUCCUUCUUUGCAUUUCUAUGAGGGCAAGCUGCUAAAUGGAGAUCAGAUGUCUGGCAAAGCUGCAUCCUUCCAUGGUACUGGGUGCCUUGGGCCAUAUGUAUUUUUCGAUAUUAUUGAUGGGCAGGAGCUUCGUGGUAAGAAUGCAGCAUCCUUGUCCCUGUACAAUGAGUCUGAGGCUGAGGCUGCAGUUGAAGUGUUGCAAUUUUUUAGGAUGAGUUAUCCCUCAGAAUUCUCCGGCGGAAGAAUUGGUAUCAUAACUCCUUAUAAGCGCCAGUUAUCACUUCUGCAUUCACGGUUCUCUAGUGCAUUUGGGCCUUCUAUCACUGCCGAAAUGGAAUUUAAUACGGUUGAUGGUUUUCAAGGUCGAGAAGUUGAUAUCCUGCUGCUUUCUACUGUUCGAGCAGCAGGAUCCUGCUCUGACACAGCCAGGGUCACUAGCAGUCUUGGAUUUGUCGCUGAUGUGAGACGGAUGAAUGUUGCUUUGACUAGGGCCAAACUGUCUCUGUGGAUUUUCGGUCACGCAAGAACAUUACAGACAAACCAGAGCUGGGGAGCUCUUCUGGAAGAUGCCAAACAAAGAAAAUUGAUUGUAUCCGGAAAAAAGCCGUACAGUUCAAUUUACAAGUUUGGUUUGGAGAGCAGACCUUCAGGAAAUUCCUCGAAAAUUCAGUUGGAGGAAGUUGGAGGGAUCAAACCUCCAAGUGAAUGUGUGAAUACAGAGAAGAAGGUUGUGAAGCAUACUUCCGAAAGGAAAAGAAGAUGCCUUGGUGUUGUACCAGAAAGCAUCUAUACAGGUGAAGGAGGCAUUUCUUCUUCAACAAAGGAUGCUGCUAAAGAUGACCAAAAAAGCUCCAGAGAUGGCACAAAUGUCUCAAUGAAGGAGGUUGCAUCUGUUGUAAUUCCAAAUAGCGAUAACAAAGUAUUGAAGGGUGCAAAGUCAAAAUUGGAAGUAGACCAAGUUAUGAGAGAUAAAAGCUGGGCCUGCAGAUCUAAUGACAAUCAAAAUAAUGUGAAAAAAGCUGGUGUUGGAAAGGGAAAUGAUAUUCACAAUACAAGGGGACAGUCAGCUGGGAAGGUGAAGAGUGGAAGCCAGAAGCACCGGAGACCUGUAGCUGAUGAAAUGUUCUCUAAAACCUUUAAGCAUGAUAAGCUACAGGAGGUUAAAGCCGGCGCAUCAUUGUCUGUGGGAAGCUCCAAGGAGAAGGGUGAACAAGGAGCUUCUACCCAGGUUGAAGUGCUUGAAGAUUCAAUUAUGAAAAGGAAGCAACAGCGUGAGGCUGUUGAUGCUCUCCUGUCAUCAGCUCUUAUAUCUUCGAAGAAGUCAGAAUCCUCGGUGAAAUCAUCCGUGAAGAGGACUCUUUCAACAUCAAAUACCAGUUGUGAUCCUAUCAGACCCCAGAAGCGAAUAAAUGAUUCAUAGAAGGAGAACUCUUCAAGAUCUAAGGAGUUUAAAGAAGCCUUGGGCCUUUGAAGAUGCUGUUGUACUGUAUCAAAUGGUAUAUUUUUCACCCCAAAGGUAACUGGUACAUGUUUGACCAGGCCAGUAGAUAGCAUUUAACCUGGCUCGCCGAGUUUCUGCUGGUUCGUUUUGCUUCCUGGAUAGUGAAGUGAUUGAAGGGAAAAAACUACGUGUUGCCGAUCGUUCCCUUGGAACGAAUUAUAAAGGAGCCGAUCAACACAUUAGGCCCAACCACAGCAUCUCUUGCGGAGCGCAAAAAUCUAGCUGAAGAUGGCCCAAUUCUGAGGAAGUCCAAUUAUCAGACUAUUAGGCCCGUUAGGGUUAAUGACUAUUACUAAAUAAAGCUAUAGGUGAGAAAGAACGAGACAAAAGCAGUUAAGGCUAGGUAGAGAUGACGACACUCGUCAAUGGAUCUUUUAUCUGUUAGGUAUUUAACACCUUGUAUGAAAUGAAAGGAAGCAUGGAACAAUGUUAAAGAAAUCUUCAUCUUCUUCCUCUAAAUUCUGGAGCUCCACCCCUGCUUGAAUUGGGAUACCUUUUUAUAAAUUUUGAUAGCAUCAUCAUCACUUGUUUGUCAUUUGACUGCCGGUUAGCCCUUCCGGAAAAUGUGUGGAUCAACGUGAUCUGUGCUUCAACUGUUAUUGUUUUAUGUUGGGGUUGAUGGAACUAGGAUUAGAUGCUCAUGUAUUACUGAGAUGCCCUGCAGGGGACCCAUGAAAGAUCUUAAGAUAUAUAUGCAUAUAUUUACACAGACUGCAGCUAAUUCAGUAAUCAGUAAUUUAAGUGUGGUUGGAUUAUGUGCUGCGUUUGGUUGAGUUGCAUAGUUUACUUCACUGGUGGAUGAAGUUGCAGAAGAAAGGCUCAAUUCAAUUAACAUAUGCUCAUCUCUAGGGCUCUGUAUA
RNA transcript from Sesamum indicum (sesame), 8019 nucleotides. It is a transcript of the gene named P-loop containing nucleoside triphosphate hydrolases superfamily protein, with no coding region annotated. The record is from RefSeq and is a predicted model, not a curated record. Lineage: Eukaryota; Viridiplantae; Streptophyta; Magnoliopsida; Lamiales; Pedaliaceae.